This 492-nucleotide ribosomal RNA is filed under the name uncultured bacterium. RNAcentral describes it as "bacterial SSU rRNA". It matches the Rfam family "Bacterial small subunit ribosomal RNA", at positions 8 to 518 of the family's 1533-position model. The record is from RNAcentral.
AGAGUUGAUCAUGGCUCAGGACGAACGCUGGCGGCGUGCCUAACACAUGCAAGUCGAGCGAGGAGAUCCUUCGGGAUGAUCCUAGCGGCGGACGGGUGAGUAACACGUGGGCAACCUGCCUCAUAGAGAGGAAUAGCCUUCCGAAAGGGAGAUUAAUACCUCAUAACAUUGCAGUUUCGCAUGGAACAGCAAUUAAAGGAGUAAUCCGCUAUGAGAUGGGCCCGCGGCGCAUUAGCUAGUUGGUGAGGUAAUGGCUCACCAAGGCGACGAUGCGUAGCCGACCUGAGAGGGUGAUCGGCCACAUUGGGACUGAGACACGGCCCAGACUCCUACGGGAGGCAGCAGUGGGGAAUAUUGCACAAUGGGGGAAACCCUGAUGCAGCCAACGCCGCGUGAGUGAUGACGGCCUUCGGGUUGUAAAGCUCUGUCUUCAGGGACGAUAGUGACGGUACCUGAGGAGGAAGCCACGGCUAACUACGUGCCAGCAGCAGC